This 314-nucleotide long non-coding RNA is filed under the name Citrus x clementina. Its description in RNAcentral is "Citrus clementina (C. clementina) long non-coding RNA (CCLE_LNC004662)". The record is from RNAcentral. Lineage: Eukaryota; Viridiplantae; Streptophyta; Magnoliopsida; Sapindales; Rutaceae.
UUGCAGGAGCCCAUAAGAAACUUCCCUCAAUCAAUGAUCUCACUUUCACAAGCAAUGAUAUCUCUUGCAAGAUUGGAUAAGUACAUGUUAAGUAGGGAAUUGGUGAAUGAGUCGGUGGAAAGAGUGGAGGGCUGUGAUGAUAAUAUUGCUGUGGAGGUUAGAGAUGGGGUGUUUAGCUGGGAUGAUGAAAAUGGGGAAGAGUGUUUGAAAAAUAUAAAUUUGGAAAUAAAGAAAGGUGACCUUACUGCUAUUGUUGGGACUGUGGGAUCUGGAAAGUCCUCUCUCCUUGCCUCCAUUCUUGGUGAGAUGCACAA